Non-coding RNA from Glycine soja, 161 nucleotides. Lineage: Eukaryota; Viridiplantae; Streptophyta; Magnoliopsida; Fabales; Fabaceae. The record is from Rfam.
AUACUUACCUGGACGGGGUCAAUGGAUGAUCAAGAAGGUCUAUGGCCUAGGAAAGUGACUUCCAUUGCACCUCGGAGGGGUGCUUUCCUAAGGUCUGCCCAAGUGGCAGAGCCUACGUCAUAAUUUGUGGUAGGGGGAGCCUGCGUUCGCGCGGCUCCCUA